GACGGAGGAUGCAAGUGUUAUCCGGAAUCACUGGGCGUAAAGCGUCUGUAGGUGGUUUAAAAAGUCUACUGUUAAAAAUUGAAGCUUAACUUCAAAGAUGCCGUAGAAACUUUUAAACUCGAGGAUGGUAGGGGUAGAGGGAAUUUCCAGUGGAGCGGUGAAAUGCGUAGACCUUGGAAAGACCACCAAUGGCGAAGGCACUCUACUGGGCCAUUACUGACACUAAGAGACGAAAGCUAGGGGAGCAAAUGGG
RNAcentral lists this ribosomal RNA (253 nucleotides) under uncultured bacterium. RNAcentral's name for it is "partial 16S ribosomal RNA". It matches the Rfam family "Bacterial small subunit ribosomal RNA", at positions 524 to 776 of the family's 1533-position model. The record is from RNAcentral.